GAACGCUGGCGGCGUGCCUAACACAUGCAAGUCGAGCGAGAAUCUCCAGAUUGAAACUUCGGUAGAUUGACGGAGAGGACAGCGGCGGACGGGUGAGUAACGCGUAGGUAAGCUGCCCCUUGCACAGGGAUAGCCUAGGGAAACCUGGAUUAAUACCUGAUGACGCUGCGCGGUCACAUGGCCAUGCAGCCAAAGUUUUUCGGCAAGGGAUGCACCUGCGUCUGAUUAGCUGGUUGGUGAGGUAACGGCCCACCAAGGCGACGAUCAGUAGCCGACCUGAGAGGGUGAUCGGCCACAUUGGAACUGAGACACGGUCCAAACUCCUACGGGAGGCAGCAGUGAGGAAUAUUGCACAAUGGGGGAACCCUGAUGCAGCAACGCCGCGUGAGCGAAGAAGGUCUUCGGAUCGUAAAGCUCUGUCCUAAGGGACGAUGAUGACGGUACCUUAGGAGGAAGCCCCGGCUAACUACGUGCC
RNAcentral lists this ribosomal RNA (475 nucleotides) under uncultured bacterium. RNAcentral's name for it is "bacterial SSU rRNA". It matches the Rfam family "Bacterial small subunit ribosomal RNA", at positions 31 to 509 of the family's 1533-position model. The record is from RNAcentral.